RNAcentral lists this ribosomal RNA (351 nucleotides) under Triticum aestivum (bread wheat). RNAcentral's name for it is "partial small subunit ribosomal RNA". The record is from RNAcentral. Lineage: Eukaryota; Viridiplantae; Streptophyta; Magnoliopsida; Poales; Poaceae.
AUGCCUCACACAAAACUUGUGCUCGGCAUCUGGCCAAACUUUGUGGACAACAUUUAUCAAACGUUUCUUAUUGUCUCUCAUAAGUGUGAAAGGAGCACUAUUGGUGAUGCUCGGAUCAUCUUUCAAAGUUGUGAGAAACCACUCCCAAGAACUUGUGCAUUCUACUUCCACCCAGCCCAUAGCAAUGGGGAAAAUGCAGUCAUCAGGAUCAAUGCCAACUGCACUAAGCAGCACACCUUUGAACAGUGUUUUCAAACAUUUUCUGCCCAAUGGAAAUUUUGUGUCUUUGACCAGUCCAGUUGUCAGCAAAAAAUUAAGCCAGGGUUCUUCUCUCUUAACUCAUGUCCAUAA